This 2415-nucleotide long non-coding RNA is filed under the name Canis lupus familiaris (dog). Its description in RNAcentral is "lncRNA (ENSCAFG00000057919.1)". Lineage: Eukaryota; Metazoa; Chordata; Mammalia; Carnivora; Canidae. The record is from RNAcentral.
UUGCUUUUCCUGGGAGAUUUUAAUUUUCUUUUCCAACCCUUCUACUGUUUUUAUUCCUGCUAUGCACAUUUUUAAUAUCCAAGGUUUCUUAUAAAAAUGUUGUCCUGUUUGUUUCAUAGAUGCACUAUGAACUUAUCUGAGAAUAUCAGCAUGUUUUAAAAUUCUCAUAUCCCUAUAUAGUCUGUUUUCUCCAACACUGCUUCCCCUCUGCCCCUGUUCAUUUGUUUUCAUUUCUAAAACUCAUGUUUAGAGGCUUUCCUCAGAUGCAUGGAUAAUCCUUGGUUGCCUGCUUAUGAUUUAGAGCCAGGGACUAAAAAAAACAUUCUGGAAGAUCUGAGCACAUGGUUUUAGGACUUCUGGACUUUGGGGUUCACUGCAGGGUAUCUUUAUGGGACCUUUGUUGGGGAAACUUAGGCCUAUAUCUUGGGAAUUGCCAGAGUCUCCAGAAAAUAAUCUUUUAAAAUUUCUGCAUGGAGAAUAAAGAUUUGGUUGUGUCAGCUUAGUGGGGAGACAAGGAUGAGGAUCCUAGCAUUCAAUAAUCACAUGCCCUCUUAAUCCUCAUCUUCAAGUGACUACUUGUGACCUGAAUUUGGCUUAGUAUGCCCUGUACAGAAAUUCUUUCAUUUUGCCUUUUCCAGAAAAUAAACAUUUAGAUUUCUGUGAGGAUGAGGAAUCUACAUUUAUGAGGAUAUAUGCAGGAUAAAUUCCGAGAGUGGGAUUGCUGGAUUGAAGAGUGAUUUUAUUUCAAGUGAGUCCCAUGCCCAGUGUGGAGUCCACCAUGGAGCUUGAACUCAUGACCCUGAGAUCAAGACCUGAGCUGAAAUCAAGAGUUGGAUGCUUAACCAACUGAACCCCCCAGGUGCCCUGAGUGUAUACAUUUUCACUUUGUAUUAGUUAUUGUCAAAUUAUGCUCUAUUGAGCUUGUAUCAUACAUAUCACCAACAGCAAUAUAUGCUUUCUCAUACCUUGUAAAUUAGUCGUCAAACUUUUUGACUUUGAAAAAAUGUGAAAAAUAUUUUACCCAUAUUAUUUUAAUUUGCAUUUCUCUUAAGUUUAAGAUUGGGCAUCUUUUCAUGGUUGAGACAUGUUUCCAUUUUUUUCCCUCUGAAGCAUUUGCUCACAUAACCUUUGCCCAUUGUAUUGUUAACUGAUUUAUAGGAGCUCUUUACUUUUUCAUUUCUGGUUUGUUGAAUUUGCUUAUAGUAGUUUACUAGAAAGGAAAAAAAAAAUUUUAACAGAGCACUUUUAUUUUCUAUGCAAAGGUGAUUCAGGAACUUACAUAAAGAUGAGAUGGGCAGCUAAGCAAGGAGCUUCCAGUAUGGCUUGGUUGGGCAAAGCAGGGCCAGGCCCCCCCCCCAUCCCACAGGCUGCCUAAUGGGCCUUCUGCUUUUCCUAAUAGGACAUGGCCAAAGGGACAGUAGAGAGAGGAAAGGAGGCAACCCCAGCCUCCACUGUGCCACCCUUUCCUAACUGCCCAGUUAGUGAGGCUUUGGGCCUUGCCUGAUGAGCUCCAUUGUGUCUGAGUUUGAGGGUAUUAGAAAUAGGGGGAGAUGGGAUGCCUGGGUGGCUCAGCGGUUGAGUGUCUGCCUUUGGCUCAGAGCAUGAUCCUGAGUCCUGGGAUUGAGUCCCGCAUCAGGCUCCCUGUGAGGAGCCUGCUUCUCUCUCUGCCUACGUCUCUGCCUCUCUCUGUAUGUCUCUUAUGAAUAAAUAAAAUCUUUAAAAAAAAAAGAAGAAACGAGGAGAACUGGAAGGAAACUGCCUUCUUGAAACAUGUAUUUCCUUGUUUAUUUUUUAAAGAUUUAGAGAGAGAGAGAGAAAGCACAAGAAGCAGAGGGAGAGAGAGUAUCAAGCAGGGUCCAUAUUCAGCAUGAAGCCCCAUGUGGGGCUUGAUCUCAGGACCCUGAGAUCAUGACCUGGGCCAAAAUCAAGAGUCAUAUGCUUAAAUGACUAGGCCACCCAGGCACCCCUUGUUACUGUUUUGUCUUAAAGGCAUUUUGGGGAUCAAAAUGCCAUUAUAGUAGUAGGGACUACAGCAUCUUUUUUUUUUUUCAGAUUUUAUUUAUUCAUGAGAGAUACACAGAGAGAGGCAGAGACAGAGGCAGAGGGAGAAGGAGGCUCCCUAUGGGGAGCCUGAUGUGUGACUCAAUCCCAGGAUUUCAGGACCACGCCCUGAGCCAAAGGCAGACACUUUAACUGCUGAGCCACCCAGCUGUCCUGGGACUAUAUAGCAUCUAGAAGUACUGGGAGGGGAAAACAUUCUUUAGUGUGGUCAAAUGUCUUCUGCAUCUUCUGUUUUGUUGAGAAAGACCUUCGACAUUCUGAGAUUAUUAAAAAUGUCUCCUUUUACUGCUAUUUUUCUUUAUUGUAUUUUAAUUUUUCAUUCACUUGGAUUUUUCCCCUAGAUGGCUACCCAGU